GGUGACCUGCGGAAGGNCAUUACUGAGCUCAUGCCCUUAACCGGGUAGAUCUCCACCCUUGAAUACCUAAACUUUGUUGCUUUGGCGGGCCGCUUCGGCUCCUGGCUUUGGCUAGGGAGUGCCCGCCAGAGAACCACAAACUCUGAAUUAUAGUGUCGUCUGAGUACUAUUAAAUAGUUAAAACUUUCAACAACGGAUCUCUUGGUUCUGGCAUCGAUGAAGAACGCAGCGAAAUGCGAUAAGUAAUGUGAAUUGCAGAAUUCAGUGAAUCAUCGAAUCUUUGAACGCACAUUGCGCCCCUUGGUAUUCCGGGGGGCAUGCCUGUUCGAGCGUCAUUAUAACCCUCAAGCCUAGCUUGGUGUUGGAGCAUGCAGUUCUGCAGCUCUUAAAAUCAGUGGCAGUGCCCUCUGGCUCUAAGCGUAGUAAUAUCUCUCGCUACAGGGUCCAGCGGGAGCGCGCCAGAACCCCCAACUUUCUAUGGUUGACCUCGGAUCAGGUAGGGAUACCCGCUGAACUUAAGCAUAUCAAUAAGCGGAGGAAAAGAAACCAACAGGGAUUGCCUCAGUAACGGCGAGUGAAGCGGCAAAAGCUCAAAUUUGAAAUCUGGCUCUUUCAGGGUCCGAGUUGUAAUUUGUAGAAGAUGCUUUGGGUGUGGCUCCGGUCUAAGUUCCUUGGAACAGGACGUCAUAGAGGGUGAGAAUCCCGUAUGUGAUCGGUUGCCUUCGCCCGUGUAAAGCUCUUUCGACGAGUCGAGUUGUUUGGGAAUGCAGCUCAAAUGGGUGGUAUAUUUCAUCU
Molecule: ribosomal RNA, 795 nt
Filed under: fungal endophyte
Lineage: Eukaryota; Fungi
Description: eukaryotic LSU rRNA
Rfam family: Eukaryotic large subunit ribosomal RNA (bases 483-795)
Source: RNAcentral